This 88-nucleotide transfer RNA is filed under the name Candidatus Limisoma intestinavium. RNAcentral describes it as "tRNA-Ser". It matches the Rfam family "tRNA". Rfam says of the family: Transfer RNA (tRNA) molecules are approximately 80 nucleotides in length. Their secondary structure includes four short double-helical elements and three loops (D, anti-codon, and T loops). Lineage: Bacteria; Pseudomonadati; Bacteroidota; Bacteroidia; Bacteroidales. The record is from RNAcentral.
GGAGAGGUGGGUGAGUGGCUGAAACCAACAGUUUGCUAAACUGUCGUAGGAGAUUUUCCUACCACGAGUUCGAAUCUCGUCCUCUCCG